CUUUAUUGGAGAGUUUGAUCCUGGCUCAGGAUGAACGCUGGCGGCGUGCCUAAUACAUGCAAGUCGAGCGAAUGGAUUAAGAGCUUGCUCUUAUGAAGUUAGCGGCGGACGGGUGAGUAACACGUGGGUAACCUGCCCAUAAGACUGGGAUAACUCC
RNAcentral lists this ribosomal RNA (157 nucleotides) under Bacillus anthracis (anthrax bacterium). Its description in RNAcentral is "partial 16S ribosomal RNA". It matches the Rfam family "Bacterial small subunit ribosomal RNA", at positions 1 to 150 of the family's 1533-position model. The record is from RNAcentral. Lineage: Bacteria; Bacillati; Bacillota; Bacilli; Caryophanales; Bacillaceae. RNAcentral also lists the same sequence under 2 other names.